UACGUAGGGAGCAAGCGUUAUCCGGAAUUAUUGGGUGUAAAGGGUGCGUAGACGGGAAUCUAAGUUAGUUGUGAAAUCCCUCGGCUUAACUGAGGAACUGCAACUAAAACUGGAUUUCUUGAGUGCAGGAGAGGAAAGUGGAAUUCCUAGUGUAGCGGUGAAAUGCGUAGAUAUUAGGAGGAACACCAGUGGCGAAGGCGGCUUUCUGGACUGUAACUGACGUUGAGGCACGAAAGUGUGGGGAGCAAACAGG
This 253-nucleotide ribosomal RNA is filed under the name uncultured bacterium. Its description in RNAcentral is "partial 16S ribosomal RNA". It matches the Rfam family "Bacterial small subunit ribosomal RNA", at positions 524 to 776 of the family's 1533-position model. The record is from RNAcentral.